AGAGUUUGAUCCUGGCUCAGGACGAACGCUGGCGGCGCGCCUAACACAUGCAAGUCGAACGAGCGAGAGGAGGUUUACUUUCUCAAGCGAGUGGCGAACGGGUGAGUAACGCGUGAGGAACCUGCCUCAAAGAGGGGGACAACAGUUGGAAACGACUGCUAAUACCGCAUAAGCCCACGACCCGGCAUCGGGUAGAGGGAAAAGGAGCAAUCCGCUUUGAGAUGGCCUCGCGUCCGAUUAGCUAGUUGGUGAGGUAAUGGCCCACCAAGGCGACGAUCGGUAGCCGGACUGAGAGGUUGAACGGCCACAUUGGGACUGAGACACGGCCCAGACUCCUACGGGAGGCAGCAGUGGGGAAUAUUGCACAAUGGGGGAAACCCUGAUGCAGCGACGCCGCGUGGAGGAAGAAGGUCUUCGGAUCGUAAACUCCUGUUGUUGAGGAAGAUAAUGACGGUACUCAACAAGGAAGUGACGGCUAACUACGUGCCAGCAGCCGCGGU
RNAcentral lists this ribosomal RNA (500 nucleotides) under Fusobacterium sp. CO6. Its description in RNAcentral is "bacterial SSU rRNA". It matches the Rfam family "Bacterial small subunit ribosomal RNA", at positions 8 to 521 of the family's 1533-position model. Lineage: Bacteria; Fusobacteriati; Fusobacteriota; Fusobacteriia; Fusobacteriales; Fusobacteriaceae. The record is from RNAcentral.